AUUGAACGCUGGCGGCAUGCCUUACACAUGCAAGUCGAGCGGUAACAGGUCUUCGGAUGCUGACGAGUGGCGAACGGGUGAGUAAUACAUCGGAACGUGCCUAGUAGUGGGGGAUAACUACUCGAAAGAGUGGCUAAUACCGCAUGAGAUCUACGGAUGAAAGCAGGGGAGCGCAAGACCUUGUGCUACUAGAGCGGCCGAUGGCAGAUUAGGUAGUUGGUGGGAUAAAAGCUUACCAAGCCGACGAUCUGUAGCUGGUCUGAGAGGACGAUCAGCCACACUGGGACUGAGACACGGCCCAGACUCCUACGGGAGGCAGCAGUGGGGAAUUUUGGACAAUGGGCGCAAGCCUGAUCCAGCAAUGCCGCGUGCAGGAUGAAGGCCUUCGGGUUGUAAACUGCUUUUGUACGGAACGAAAAGCCCCGGGUUAAUACCCUGGGGUCAUGACGGUACCGUAAGAAUAAGCACCGGCUAACUACGUGCCAGCCGCCGCCGUAA
This 498-nucleotide ribosomal RNA is filed under the name uncultured bacterium. RNAcentral describes it as "partial 16S ribosomal RNA". It matches the Rfam family "Bacterial small subunit ribosomal RNA", at positions 30 to 523 of the family's 1533-position model. The record is from RNAcentral.